GACGAACGCUGGCGGCGUGCCUAAUACAUGCAAGUAGAACGCUGAAGGAGGAGCUUGCUUCUCUGGAUGGGUUGCGAACGGGUGAGUAACGCGUAGGUAACCUGCCUGGUAGCGGGGGAUAACUAUUGGAAACGAUAGCUAAUACCGCAUAAGAGUAGAUGUCGCAUGACAUUUGCUUAAAAGGUGCAAUUGCAUCACUACCAGAUGGACCUGCGUUGUAUUAGCUAGUUGGUGAGGUAACGGCUCACCAAGGCAACGAUACAUAGCCGACCUGAGAGGGUGAUCGGCCACACUGGGACUGAGACACGGCCCAGACUCCUACGGGAGGCAGCAGUAGGGAAUCUUCGGCAAUGGACGGAAGUCUGACCGAGCAACGCCGCGUGAGUGAAGAAGGUUUUCGGAUCGUAAAGCUCUGUUGUAAGAGAAGAACGAGUGUGAGAGUGGAAAGUUCACACUGUGACGGUAUCUUACCAGAAAGGGACGGCUAACUACGUG
This 495-nucleotide ribosomal RNA is filed under the name uncultured bacterium. Its description in RNAcentral is "partial 16S ribosomal RNA". It matches the Rfam family "Bacterial small subunit ribosomal RNA", at positions 28 to 507 of the family's 1533-position model. The record is from RNAcentral.